This 460-nucleotide ribosomal RNA is filed under the name uncultured bacterium. RNAcentral describes it as "partial 16S ribosomal RNA". It matches the Rfam family "Bacterial small subunit ribosomal RNA", at positions 338 to 795 of the family's 1533-position model. The record is from RNAcentral.
CCUACGGGAGGCUGCAGUGAGGACUAUUGGUCAAUGGGCGGGAGCCUGAACCAGCCACGUCGCGUGAGGGAAGACGGUCCUCUGGCUUGUAAACCUCUUUAGGCGGGGAGCACUGCCGGGCACGCGUGCCCGGAGGGAGAGUCCCCGCAGACUCAGCAUCGGCUAACUCCGUGCCAGCAGCCGCGGUAAUACGGAGGAUGCGGGCGUUAUCCGGAUUUAUGGGGUUUAAAGGGUGCGUAGGCGGAUUUUUAAGUCAGCGGUAAAAUGUCCGGGCUCAACCCGGGCCGGCCGUUGAAACUGGGGAUCUUGAGUGGGCGAGAAGUAUGCGGAAUGCGUGGUGUAGCGGUGAAAUGCAUAGAUAUCACGCAGAACUCCGAUUGCGAAGGCAGCAUACCGGCGCCCGACUGACGCUGAGGCACGAAAGCGUGGGGAUCGAACAGGAUUAGAUACCCGGGUAGUC